RNAcentral lists this long non-coding RNA (298 nucleotides) under Setaria viridis. RNAcentral's name for it is "long non-coding RNA (SVIR_LNC002842)". The record is from RNAcentral. Lineage: Eukaryota; Viridiplantae; Streptophyta; Magnoliopsida; Poales; Poaceae.
AACUGGCUUGCACCGUUCACUCUUCUUCUUGUUUUUUUAUGGGAACUUUAAUAGAAGCACAAGUGUAUGAAAAAAACGUAAAAUAGGGAGCAGAGGCUAGAAUACCCCUUGUGUAAUAGGAACCAGGUUCUCUCUACGGUACCUCUUGGCAGAUAAACCAGGUUCUCACUUAGAUACCCCCGGCGCGAUGCGUGCCCUCAAAAUUCUAGCCAGGUCCGUCACCGUGUGGAUGCGAACCCGGGUUGCCUGUUUCAAAGGCUAGCCGAAUAACCACCCUAGCUGGGUCUUGUCCCCUCCC